Molecule: long non-coding RNA, 1088 nt
Organism: Malurus melanocephalus (red-backed fairy wren)
Lineage: Eukaryota; Metazoa; Chordata; Aves; Passeriformes; Maluridae
Exons: 6
Source: RefSeq, a predicted model, not a curated record
AGAAUGAUACUGGGAUAUUUGGCAUUGGAUUCUGCUGAAGAACCAUUCUGAUUGUCCCUGAAUUUUGACCUGUGAAAAUUCAAACAUGUGAUUUUUGUCUGAAAGAUUCUAUGGAAAAGUGAGGCAACUGAUCAGUUGCUACUUAAAGUUGUUCAUUCAUAUUACAGGUGUUCUCUUAUUCAUGUGAAGAUUAACUACAUUUCAAACAGCUGCAUAGCCAAAUUCUCCAGACAAUGAGGACUACCACCAGCCACGAUGCUCACAGCGUGCUCUCAGUCARCCUCGAAUCCGGGUUCAGCUCCCUGCAGCAGGUGCCUGAUUUGCACACAGUCCAGUGGAGAGCAGCAGGAUCCAAUCACAGCCUCGGGAUUGUGCAAUACUGCAUACGCACAAAGAUGGCACAUGGCGACUUCAGAUAGCCUGCACUCCCUGCUCACAAUCACAGAAUCAAUCAAAUUGGAAAAGACCUCUGAGAUCGUCGAGUCCAAACUAUUUGUUUGUUUUUCCAUAUUUGUUCAAAGUGUCAGCUGGGAAGUGGCUUCUGUUAUGCUCUUAAAAGAAGACAGURCCACACAGAUCACCAGUUCCUAACAAGUUUGCUGUACCAAUAGAAAAGAGGAGAUUUGGAGCAGAGAACAAUCACGUCAUGAACACUGUUGGCCAUUUCGGUGCAGCCUGGGAAGCUGACCCCACGCUUCCACGCAUUUAUGCUGUGUUUUGCMGAUGUUGGAGAAGCAGGAAGAGUGUUGGGCUGAGGGGAAGACAGCCAGGAGUCAGGAAACCUCACCAUUUUCUGUCUGAGCUGAACACYGAACCAGGAACCUCAAAGGAACCUAAACUCUGUGACUGCAACAUCCUGAUUUAAUGAUUCAACACAGUCUUCAUUUCAAUGACAACUUUAAAAGGGGAAAAAAAAGAAGCAGCUAAGAAGGCACCCGUUUUCAUGCAAGAGUACAACACCAAAGAGUGCAAGAAAAUAAAAUCCAAAGGCUUGCCAAAGACAUACAAGAAUUCAGGCAUGAGACCUGCAAUCAUCACAGAGAUCUGAAAUGACAAGAUAAGAAAUCCAGUUCUGACUGGCAGCUAUU